CUGCUGCCUCCCGUAGGAGUCUGGGCCGUGUCUCAGUCCCAAUGUGGCCGGCCAACCUCUCAGUCCGGCUACUGAUCGUCGCCUUGGUGAGCCGUUACCUCACCAACUAGCUAAUCAGACGCGAGUCCAUCUCAGAGCGAUAAAUCUUUGGCAGUCAGAGCCAUGCGACCCAACUGCAUCAUGCGGUAUUAGCAGUUGUUUCCAAUUGUUAUUCCCCAUCCAAGGCAGGUUA
This 232-nucleotide ribosomal RNA is filed under the name uncultured bacterium. Its description in RNAcentral is "partial 16S ribosomal RNA". The record is from RNAcentral.